UACGAAGGGGGCUAGCGUUGUUCGGAAUUACUGGGCGUAAAGCGCGCGUAGGCGGUGAUCUUUGUCAGAGGUGAAAGCCCGGGGCUCAACUCCGGAAUUGCCUUUGAAACGGGAUUGCUUGAGUCCGAGAGAGGAUGGCGGGAUUCCUAGUGUAGAGGUGAAAUUCGUAGAUAUUAGGAAGAACACCGGUGGCGAAGGCGGCCAUCUGGCUCGGUACUGACGCUCAGGCGCGAAAGCGUGGGGAGCAAACAGG
Molecule: ribosomal RNA, 253 nt
Filed under: uncultured bacterium
Lineage: Bacteria
Description: partial 16S ribosomal RNA
Rfam family: Bacterial small subunit ribosomal RNA
Source: RNAcentral